This 253-nucleotide ribosomal RNA is filed under the name uncultured bacterium. RNAcentral's name for it is "partial 16S ribosomal RNA". It matches the Rfam family "Bacterial small subunit ribosomal RNA", at positions 524 to 776 of the family's 1533-position model. The record is from RNAcentral.
UACGUAGGUGACAAGCGUUGUCCGGAUUUAUUGGGCGUAAAGCGAGCGCAGGCGGCUCUUUAAGUCUGAUGUGAAAGCCCACGGCUCAACCGUGGAACGGCAUUGGAAACUGGAGAGCUUGAAUGUAGAAGAGGAAAGUGGAAUUCCAUGUGUAGCGGUGGAAUGCGUAGAUAUAUGGAGGAACACCAGUGGCGAAGGCGACUUUCUGGUCUAUUAUUGACGCUGAGGCUCGAAAGCGUGGGGAGCGAACAGG